RNAcentral lists this ribosomal RNA (253 nucleotides) under uncultured bacterium. Its description in RNAcentral is "partial 16S ribosomal RNA". It matches the Rfam family "Bacterial small subunit ribosomal RNA", at positions 524 to 776 of the family's 1533-position model. The record is from RNAcentral.
UACGUAGGAUGCAAGCGUUAUCCGGAAUUAUUGGGCGUAAAGCGUACGUAGGCGGUUUACCAAGUCUGGAGUUAAAGACCGAGGCUCAACCUCGGGAGUGCUCUGGAAACUGGUAGGCUGGAGGACGGCAGAGGAAAGUGGAAUUCCCAGUGUAGCGGUGAAAUGCGUAGAUAUUGGGAGGAACACCAGUGGCGAAAGCGACUUUCUGGGCCGUUCCUGACGCUGAGGUACGAAAGCCAGGGGAGCAAACGGG